GGGCCAUAGCUCAGUGGUAGAGGAUCCGCUUUGCAAGCAGAGGGUCGCAGGUUCAAUCCCCAACAUCUCCA
Podarcis lilfordi (Lilford's wall lizard) is the source of this 71-nucleotide non-coding RNA. Lineage: Eukaryota; Metazoa; Chordata; Lepidosauria; Squamata; Lacertidae. The record is from the annotation of a GenBank genome assembly.